UGUGUUAGUGGAAGCGUCUGGAAAGGCGCGCGAUACAGGGUGACAGCCCCGUACACAAAAGCGCAUGUGCUGUGAGCUCGAUGAGUAGGGCGGGACACGUGGUAUCCUGUCUGAAUAUGGGGGGACCAUCCUCCAAGGCUAAAUACUCCUGACUGACCGAUAGUGAACCAGUACCGUGAGGGAAAGGCGAAAAGAACCCCGGCGAGGGGAGUGAAAAAGAACCUGAAACCGUGUACGUACAAGCAGUGGGAGCCCCACCACCAAAGCAUUCUCUGGUGUUGAAGGCCCUGCAAAGCAGCAUCGCGGUGGCGGAGCGUCGUUUGCGACGCCCAACACACAAAACAAGCGGUGAGUGCUUUGGGGUGGGGUGACUGCGUACCUUUUGUAUAAUGGGUCAGCGACUUAUAUUCUGUAGCAAGGUUAACCGAAUAGGGGAGCCGGAGGGAAACCGAGUCUUAAUUGGGCGUUAAGUUGCAGGGUAUAGACCCGAAACCCGGUGAUCUAGCCAUGGGCAGGUUGAAGGUUGGGUAACACUAACUGGAGGACCGAACCGACUAAUGUUGAAAAAUUAGCGGAUGACCUGUGGCUGGGGGUGAAAGGCCAAUCAAACCGGGAGAUAGCUGGUUCUCCCCGAAAGCUAUUUAGGUAGCGCCUCGUGAAUUCAUCUCCGGGGGUAGAGCACUGUUUCGGCUAGGGGGCCAUCCCGGCUUACCAACCCGAUGCAAACUGCGAAUACCGGAGAAUGUUAUCACGGGAGACACACGGCGGGUGCUAACGUCCGUCGUGAAGAGGGAAACAACCCAGACCGCCAGCUAAGGUCCCAAAGUCAUGGUUAAGUGGGAAACGAUGUGGGAAGGCCCAGACAGCCAGGAUGUUGGCUUAGAAGCAGCCAUCAUUUAAAGAAAGCGUAAUAGCUCACUGGUCGAGUCGGCCUGCGCGGAAGAUGUAACGGGGCUAAACCAU
This 963-nucleotide ribosomal RNA is filed under the name Salmonella enterica. Its description in RNAcentral is "partial 23S ribosomal RNA". It matches the Rfam family "Bacterial large subunit ribosomal RNA", at positions 325 to 1190 of the family's 2925-position model. Lineage: Bacteria; Pseudomonadati; Pseudomonadota; Gammaproteobacteria; Enterobacterales; Enterobacteriaceae. The record is from RNAcentral.